This is a long non-coding RNA of Mesocricetus auratus (golden hamster), 1204 nucleotides long. RefSeq lists it as uncharacterized. The record is from RefSeq and is a predicted model, not a curated record. NCBI's taxonomy places the organism in Eukaryota, Metazoa, Chordata, Mammalia, Rodentia, Cricetidae. The transcript has 3 exons.
AUAACCCCCUCACCUUCAUGAGUCGCUUUGGUCAAGGUGUUUCAUUGAAGCAGUAGUAACCCUAAGCAGACAAACUCUGUUGUGUAGAGCCCAGUGAGCUGUGAUUGUCUCUGGUAGGUAUACAAAUGAAGUGUAAAUGCAGCCAAUCAGGAAAGAGCUAUCUAACCUGAGAGAAGGAAAAAGCCCACUAACCCCCGAGAGGUCGCUCUCCCACAACACACGCUCAUGGUGUUGAUGCACAACUGGGGAAAGUGUCAGGCAAAACACUUGUUUCCCUGGGUUCCAGCCAGAGCUCCACUGUCACCUGCUGUGCCAUAUCUUUGGUUCCUGGCUGCCACAAGGAAAGCUCUGACCUCUGGCAGGGGCUGUGGUGUUUAAGCUUCUGUGACUGGAGUAUGGGUGACUUAAAGGCAGCUGCAUUAACCAAAAGCCUCCUCCGGGGAGCGAUGUCUCAGAAGCAGGAACCCCAAGGUGCUUCAGUGGGACAGAGCUCAAGGCUCCAGAGACAGCCCACGACCCACUGUCCUCAGUAGACAUCAUGAGGACCCUACUGCUUCCUGUUAUCUGAACCUAAGUCUCUCCUCCUGAUGUGGGAACUAAAGGUCUGCAAACACUGGGUGGGCCAAGAGCACUGGUUUUAUUAGUGUUGACGCCCAGGUGAUUGGGACUCUUCAGAAGAAAGUCAUGAGUUUAUCUGUUUCUUCUACCCUGUAAGUCACUUCAACUAUCUUAGCUCUAGAAUUUUCUUUGCCAGUUUCACAAAUUCUGCUUAUUUGGACAUGAAGGCUAAAGAGCAAUUCAAGAAAAAGUAGUUUGUAUGUGGUAAUUUUAAAAAGUGGCAUUGUGUAAUGUUCUUUGGUGACAGGCAGAAGAAAUCACUGACAUAUUGUCAUUGUGUCAACAGUAGAAGCACUGGAAGAGAGCACAUGGGGAAGAGUCUAAAACUGUGCUCAAUACUUAUCAGCUCCAUCCCAUGAGGUACAACUGUCCAAGCCUCCAUUGAUUAUGUAUUGUUGGCAAGCGUGGGUUGACAUGUGACCUGUACACCUGACUUGUAAAGCAGUGUUCUUGGAUUUUCUUUCUUGAAUGACAUUUUAUCAACACAUUGGCACCAGCUGUGACUGAAGAAAACAUUCAAAGCAGCCUAUUGAAGACACGGCAAAUAGGGAUUUUAUUUAGUCCAAUAAAAUUAUUACCAAAUGGC